RNAcentral lists this ribosomal RNA (460 nucleotides) under uncultured bacterium. RNAcentral describes it as "partial 16S ribosomal RNA". It matches the Rfam family "Bacterial small subunit ribosomal RNA", at positions 338 to 795 of the family's 1533-position model. The record is from RNAcentral.
CCUACGGGAGUCAGCAGUGAGGAAUAUUGGUCAAUGGUCGUAAGCCUGAACCAGCCAAGCCGCGUGAGGGAUGAAGGUUCUGUGGAUCGUAAACCUCUUUUGUCAGGGAACAAAGACCGGGACGCGUCCCCUUUUGUAUGUACCUUAUGAAUAAGCAUCGGCUAACUCCGUGCCAGCAGCCGCGGUAGUACGGAGGAUGCGAGCGUUAUCCGGAUUUAUUGGGUUUAAAGGGUGCGCAGGCGGCCUGUUAAGUCAGCGGUCAAAGCCUGUGGCUCAACCACGGACUGGCCGUUGAAACUGGGCGGCUGGAGUUUGUGAGAAGCAGGCGGAAUGCGCGGUGUAGCGGUGAAAUGCAUAGAUAUCGCGCAGAACCCCGAUUGCGAAGGCAGCAUGCCGGACCAAAACUGACGCUGAUGCACGAAAGCGUGGGGAUCGAACAGGAUUAGAUACCCGAGUAGUC